RNAcentral lists this ribosomal RNA (253 nucleotides) under uncultured bacterium. Its description in RNAcentral is "partial 16S ribosomal RNA". It matches the Rfam family "Bacterial small subunit ribosomal RNA", at positions 524 to 776 of the family's 1533-position model. The record is from RNAcentral.
UACGUAGGGCGCAAGCGUUGUCCGGAUUUAUUGGGCGUAAAGAGCUCGUAGGCGGUUUGUCGCGUCGUCCGUGAAAACUCACAGCUUAACUGUGAGCUUGCGGUCGAUACGGGCAGGCUAGAGUUCGGUAGGGGAGACUGGAAUUCCUGGUGUAGCGGUGAAAUGCGCAGAUAUCAGGAGGAACACCGGUGGCGAAGGCGGGUCUCUGGGCCGAUAUUGACGCUGAGGAGCGAAAGCGUGGGGAGCGAACAGG